Molecule: long non-coding RNA, 1677 nt
Organism: Monodelphis domestica (gray short-tailed opossum)
Lineage: Eukaryota; Metazoa; Chordata; Mammalia; Didelphimorphia; Didelphidae
Source: Ensembl
CGGCCUUUUCGCUUUAACUUUUGCAGCUAUUUUAUUAUUUACUCUUAUUUCUGCCUCGACCUCCCCACUCUCCUACCUAGUGAGACUCCCUACCUUAUUUUGUGAACCUUAAAAAUUCUCAGCCCCUACUCCAUAAGGUUGGGUUAAGACCAUUCCCCAUUUAAACAAUGAAGGAACUUAGAUCAGGAAUGUGAGAUCUCUACUUAGAUCAGCAAUGUGAAGACCUCUACUCCACCCCUACUUAAGCCUGCUUUAGGGAAGAAACUCCUUGCUGAACAAUGAAAGAUACUUAAACCCAUACUUAUAGUAAGGCAAAAAGUUCUUAAGCCAUGCCUAUUUUUAGAUCUAAUACAAAAGGGUGCUAAGUACCUAUAAAGGUCAGGCAACUUGUGAAUUUACAAGGAGCAAAGAAGUGAGAAACUUACUCAGAGGUUUUAGUCUACCCAGGUGUGAAUUACUCAAAAGAUUAGUCUUCUUAGGUGUGAACUAAGAAUGGGCUGUCCUUUGGAAAACGUCUACUGUGAUUGGUAGAUGAGAGAACUUAGGGGAGGUGACAUAGGAGAAAAUUCCCUUUAAAAGGAGACAAAAAGCUCUCUCUCUCUCUCUCUCUCUCUCUCUCUCUCUCUCUCUCUCUCUCUCUCUCUCUCUCUCUCUCUCUGUGUGUCUCUCUCUCUCUCUCUCUCUCUCUCUCUCUCUCUGUCUCUCUCUCUCUCUCUCUCUCUCUCUCUCUCUCUCUCUCUCUCUCUCUCUCUCUCUCUCUCGACAGUCAGCUGGGAAAGGCUGAAUUGGAGGAGGCAGCUGUUCAAAGCUGCCUUGAAGAGUCUCUCUCGGGGCUCCCUCUCAGAGAUCUUGUGGGCCAGCGUUCUAUGCUGCGGAGCUUCUUGGAUCCGAAGGAAGACCGGGAAGAAAGGGUAGAGUUUUGUCAAUGAUGAUAGAUGCAGCAUUCUGUAGCCAAGACACAGCAGCUAUCAAAAGGAGAAUGGUUCAUCAUCAGUCUUCUGGAACUCUUUGGCUGCACAUUAUCUUAGAAAGUCACAUGUGAACACCAUCUAGGAUCUAGUGCACUGUUAUUCAUUUGUUGACUCUUUCCCAAUUACAUUUUAAUCUGGUUGGGCAGGGAGUCUGCGGGGAACAUGUGGGAUGUCUGUUUGACAUCUCUGAAGUAUUCUGUGUUGGAUUUGAAGCAGUAGGACCUCUGCUCAAAUCCAGCUCCUGCCCUUUAUUGCCAGUGGGACAAGUCAUUGAACCUCUCAGGGAUUGUGUGCCCACAUCUGGAAUAGGAGGAAGUUCAGAUCCACGUCCCCCAAACACCCUCCCUUCCUGCCCGAAGUCUUUGAUCUAAGAGUGAUCGUUGCAUUCAUCUGGCGUCUUUUGGUGUUUUCCUUUCCAUCACUCUGGUCAUCAUGUGUGUUGUUUGCCGGUUCUAAUUCUUCAUAGAAAUAUGGAUUUGGAGCUGCCACUGAGGAUAGCCUUCUUGUUUUACAGGUGUGGAAAUGGAGAUUCAGAGAAAUUAGUUGACCUGGCCAAAGUCACACAGAUAGGAUGAGAUAGAUAAGAUGUCAGCUUAGAAAGAUGGUGCCAGUAGUGGUGUGUGUGUGAGGGUGAGGGUGAGGGUGAGGGUUUUAUUGCCCUUCAGUCUUAAUUUCUUGAUGUGUCCUCCAGGUAAGAAAAAGUCUU